UACGGAGGUGGCAAGCGUUGUUCGGAAUUACUGGGCGUAAAGGGCGCGUAGGCGGCUAGGCAAGUCAGGUGUGAAAGCCCCGGGCUUAACCCGGGAAUUGCAUCUGAAACUGCUGUGCUUGAGUUCUGGAGGGGGUAGUGGAAUUCCCAGUGUAGCGGUGAAAUGCGUAGAUAUUGGGAGGAACACCUGCGGCGAAGGCGGCUACCUGGACAGAAACUGACGCUGAGGCGCGAAAGCUAGGGGAGCGAACGGG
Molecule: ribosomal RNA, 253 nt
Filed under: uncultured bacterium
Lineage: Bacteria
Also listed under: 1 other name
Description: partial 16S ribosomal RNA
Rfam family: Bacterial small subunit ribosomal RNA
Source: RNAcentral